AAAUUGAAGAGUUUGAUCAUGGCUCAGAUUGAACGCUGGCGGCAGGCCUAACACAUGCAAGUCGAACGGUAGCACAGAGAGCUUGCUCUCGGGUGACGAGUGGCGGACGGGUGAGUAAUGUCUGGGAAACUGCCUGAUGGAGGGGGAUAACUACUGGAAACGGUGGCUAAUACCGCAUAAUGUCGCAAGACCAAAGAGGGGGACCUUCGGGCCUCUUGCCAUCAGAUGUGCCCAGAUGGGAUUAGCUAGUUGGUGAGGUAACGGCUCACCAAGGCGACGAUCCCUAGCUGGUCUGAGAGGAUGACCAGCCACACUGGAACUGAGACACGGUCCAGACUCCUACGGGAGGCAGCAGUGGGGAAUAUUGCACAAUGGGCGCAAGCCUGAUGCAGCCAUGCCGCGUGUAUGAAGAAGGCCUUCGGGUUGUAAAGUACUUUCAGCGGGGAGGAAGGUGUUGUGGUUAAUAACCUCAGCAAUUGACGUUACCCGCAGAAGAAGCACCGGCUAACUCCGUGCCAGCAGCCGCGGUAAUACGGAGGGUGCAAGCGUUAAUCGG
This 556-nucleotide ribosomal RNA is filed under the name Salmonella enterica. RNAcentral describes it as "bacterial SSU rRNA". It matches the Rfam family "Bacterial small subunit ribosomal RNA", at positions 1 to 548 of the family's 1533-position model. The record is from RNAcentral. Lineage: Bacteria; Pseudomonadati; Pseudomonadota; Gammaproteobacteria; Enterobacterales; Enterobacteriaceae.